UGCAACCUUCAUAGUUGCAAA
This 21-nucleotide non-coding RNA is filed under the name Caenorhabditis elegans. Lineage: Eukaryota; Metazoa; Nematoda; Chromadorea; Rhabditida; Rhabditidae. The record is from RNAcentral.